GCCUGGUUGGUUCAGUCCGUAGAGCAUGCAACUCUUGAUCUCGGGGUUGUGAGUUCAAGCCCCACACUGGGCA
This 73-nucleotide transfer RNA is filed under the name Ailuropoda melanoleuca (giant panda). It matches the Rfam family "tRNA". From Rfam's summary of the family: Transfer RNA (tRNA) molecules are approximately 80 nucleotides in length. Their secondary structure includes four short double-helical elements and three loops (D, anti-codon, and T loops). Further hydrogen bonds mediate the characteristic L-shaped molecular structure. tRNAs have two regions of fundamental functional importance: the anti-codon, which is responsible for specific mRNA codon recognition, and the 3' end, to which the tRNAs corresponding amino acid is attached (by aminoacyl-tRNA synthetases). tRNAs cope with the degeneracy of the genetic code in two manners: having more than one tRNA (with a specific anti-codon) for a particular amino acid; and 'wobble' base-pairing, i.e. permitting non-standard base-pairing at the 3rd anti-codon position. The record is from Rfam by way of RNAcentral. Lineage: Eukaryota; Metazoa; Chordata; Mammalia; Carnivora; Ursidae.